AUACGGAGGGUGCAAGCGUUAAUCGGAAUUACUGGGCGUAAAGCGUACGUAGGCGGUUCGUUAAGUUAGAUGUGAAAGCCCCGGGCUUAACCUGGGAACUGCAUUUAAAACUGGCGAACUAGAGUUGAGUAGAGGGGAGUGGAAUUUCAGGUGUAGCGGUGAAAUGCGUGGAGAUCUGAGGGAACACCAGUGGCGAAGGCGACUCCCUGGACUCGAACUGACGCUGAGGUACGAAAGCGUGGGUAGCAAACGGGAGUAGAAACCCUAGUAGUCC
This 274-nucleotide ribosomal RNA is filed under the name uncultured bacterium. Its description in RNAcentral is "partial 16S ribosomal RNA". It matches the Rfam family "Bacterial small subunit ribosomal RNA", at positions 523 to 796 of the family's 1533-position model. The record is from RNAcentral.